Molecule: ribosomal RNA, 306 nt
Filed under: uncultured bacterium
Lineage: Bacteria
Description: partial 16S ribosomal RNA
Rfam family: Bacterial small subunit ribosomal RNA
Source: RNAcentral
GACAGCAGUAGCCACGGGAAUACGAAGGGUGCAAGCGUUAAUCGGAAUUACUGGGCGUAAAGCGUGCGUAGGCGGUGAGUUAAGUCUGCUGUGAAAUCCCCGGGCUCAACCUGGGAAUGGCAGUGGAUACUGGCUCGCUAGAGUGUGUCAGAGGAUGGUGGAAUCCCGGUGUAGCGGUGAAAUGCGUAGAGAUCGGGAGGAACAUCAGUGGCGAAGGCGGCCAUCUGGGACAACACUGACGCUGAGGCACGAAAGCGUGGGGAGCAAACAGGAUUAGAUACCCCAGUAGUCCCUGUCUCUUAUACA